RNAcentral lists this ribosomal RNA (246 nucleotides) under uncultured bacterium. RNAcentral's name for it is "partial 16S ribosomal RNA". It matches the Rfam family "Bacterial small subunit ribosomal RNA", at positions 523 to 769 of the family's 1533-position model. The record is from RNAcentral.
AUACGGAGGGUGCGAGCGUUGUUCGGAAUUAUUGGGCGUAAAGCGCGUGUAGGCGGCUUUUAAGUCUGAUGUGAAAGCCCCGGGCUCAACCCGGGAAGUGCAUUGGAUACUGGGAGACUUGAAUACGGGAGAGGGUAGUGGAAUUCCUAGUGUAGGAGUGAAAUCCGUAGAUAUUAGGAGGAACACCGGUGGCGAAGGCGGCUACCUGAACCGAUAUUGACGCUGAGACGCGAAAGCGUGGGGAGC